Molecule: ribosomal RNA, 494 nt
Filed under: uncultured bacterium
Lineage: Bacteria
Description: partial 16S ribosomal RNA
Rfam family: Bacterial small subunit ribosomal RNA
Source: RNAcentral
GACGAACGCUGGCGGCGUGCCUAAUACAUGCCAGUCGAGCGGACUUACAAAGCUUGCUUUUUAAGUUAGCGGCGGACGGGUGAGUAACACGUGGGCAACCUGCCUGUAAGACUGGGAUAACUUCGGGAAACCGGAGCUAAUACCGGAUAAUCCUUUUCUACUCAUGUAGAAAAGCUGAAAGACGGUUUACGCUGUCACUUACAGCUGGGCCCGCGGCGCAUUAGCUAGUUGGGGAGGUAACGGCUCACCAAGGCGACGAUGCGUAGCCGACCUGAAAGGAUGAUCGGCCACACUGGAACUGAGACACGGCCCAGAGUCCUACGGGAGGCAGCAGUAGGGAAUCUUCCGCAAUGGACGAAAGUCUGACGGAGCAACGCCGCGUGAGUGAUGAAGGAUUUCGGAUCGUAAAACUCUGUUGUUAGGGAAGAACAAGUACGAGAGUAACUGCUCGUACCUUGACGGUACCUAACCAGAAAGCCACGGCUAACUACGUG